RNAcentral lists this ribosomal RNA (329 nucleotides) under uncultured eukaryote. RNAcentral describes it as "partial 18S ribosomal RNA". It matches the Rfam family "Eukaryotic small subunit ribosomal RNA", at positions 1470 to 1796 of the family's 1831-position model. The record is from RNAcentral.
CCCUUAGAUGUUCUGGGCCGCACGCGCGCUACACUGAUGCAUUCAACGAGUCUAAAACCUGCUCUGAUAGGGGUGGGUAAUCUUUUGAAUGUGCAUCGUGAUUGGGAUAGAUGAUUGCAAUUUUUCAUCUUCAACGAGGAAUGCCUAGUAAACGCAAGUCAUCAGCUUGCAUUGAUUACGUCCCUGCCCUUUGUACACACCGCCCGUCGCUCCUACCGACUGAAUGAUCCGAUGAAUAUCAUGGAUUGAGGAUGCAAGUAGGUUCGCCUAUCUUCAUCUUCGAGAAGUGAAGUAAAUCUUAUCAUUUAGAGGAAGGAGAAGUCGUAACA